AUGCCUAGCGACAAGGCGCCUGGACCUGAUGGCUUCACCGGCCUCUUCUUCAAGAAGUGUUGGGGCAUCAUCAAGCACGACCUCAUGAGGGUGAUUCAAUGCUUUGACUCCCUCCACACAACAAAUCUUCACUGGCUCAAUUCUGCGAAUGUUGUGCUGCUUCCCAAGAAGGAUGGGGCGGAGAGCAUCGUCGAUUAUAGACCCAUCAGUCUCAUUCAUGGAAUCGCCAAGAUCAUUGCAGAAGUGCUUUCCAUAAGGCUCAGACCGCAUAUGUCCACCCUCGUCUCCAAUGCUCAAAGUGCUUUCAUCAAAACACGGAGCAUCCAUGACAACUUCAUGUAUGUUCGAAACCUCGCGCGACGCCUUCACUAG
RNAcentral lists this ribosomal RNA (372 nucleotides) under Triticum aestivum (bread wheat). RNAcentral's name for it is "partial small subunit ribosomal RNA". Lineage: Eukaryota; Viridiplantae; Streptophyta; Magnoliopsida; Poales; Poaceae. The record is from RNAcentral.